CUGAGAUACCCAGUGUCUCCAGGUCUGGUCUCCAGGAUCUCGGUGGAGCCUCCAGAAAUGUUGUGUAUUCAACAGAGAAGAUUGUUCAGACAUCCUGCAGCUACAAUGAGUGUUCAGGAUCCCAGUGUAGCACUAAACCAUUCUCACGAGGAAGACCAUACAGAAAUCUACAACUGGUCAAAAUGCAGAGAACAAACGGCUGCGGGGCCCCAGCCGUAAUUGAUCCAUCUAGAAUAUAGCCCUCACUGAAGGCUCAGGGAACAUCGCAGAAACAGGAGAGGAAAGACUGGAAGAGCCAGAGGACUCGCAUGUCACUGGGAGGUACUGCCAUCUAUAUAUGGCAGGGGAGCUGCACCAAUGUUACCCUAACGAUAAGCAUACCUGAAAAGAACUAACACAAUGACCCUAUCAGUUGACCUGCCAACAAGACUUGGGGAAAUCUCACAAGGCUUUACCCCCAGAUGAAGAACUACAGGGAAGAACUAUAGCAGCAUAAUGGUUGCUGAGAGAUGAAGAAUAAGCCUUUCACCGAACUAAGUCCCUAGCAGGAUAUACAAUCCUUAGUGGUCUGUUCUAAACACAUACACCUAUGAGAAAUGCCAAACAGACUUAUCAGGUUAUAUUUAUAUGAAAUCUAUAUGUAUGUAUAUAUGUAUGUAUGUUUGUAUACAUACAUGUGUGUAUGUAUGGAUACAUAUGAGAUAAUAAUUGAAGAAGAAGAUGAUGAUGAUGAAGAGGGAGAAGAAGAAGACAAGCAUUUGAGAGGGAGAAAUACAGGAUGAGUUGGAGUCAGUUCAGCAGGAAAUGAUGCACAUGAUGUAAUACAGAACUCACAUACGAAAUUCUAAAAUAAAUUACAUUAACAACUACAA
Mesocricetus auratus (golden hamster) is the source of this 872-nucleotide long non-coding RNA. RefSeq lists it as uncharacterized. NCBI's taxonomy places the organism in Eukaryota, Metazoa, Chordata, Mammalia, Rodentia, Cricetidae. The record is from RefSeq and is a predicted model, not a curated record. The transcript is spliced from 2 exons.